GACGAACGCUGGCGGCGUGCCUAAUACAUGCAAGUCGUGCGGACCUUUUAAAAGCUUGCUUUUAAAAGGUUAGCGGCGGACGGGUGAGUAACACGUGGGCAACCUGCCUGUAAGACUGGGAUAACGCCGGGAAACCGGGGCUAAUACCAGAUAGUUUUUUCCUCCGCAUGGAGGAAAAAGGAAAGGCGGCUUCGGCUGCCACUUACAGAUGGGCCCGCGGCGCAUUAGCUAGUUGGCGGGGUAACGGCCCACCAAGGCAACGAUGCGUAGCCGACCUGAGAGGGUGAUCGGCCACAUUGGGACUGAGACACGGCCCAAACUCCUACGGGAGGCAGCAGUAGGGAAUCUUCCGCAAUGGACGAAAGUCUGACGGAGCAACGCCGCGUGAGUGAAGAAGGCCUUCGGGUCGUAAAACUCUGUUGCCGGGGAAGAACAAGUGCCGUUCGAACAGGGCGGCGCCUUGACGGUACCCGGCCAGAAAGCCACGGCUAACUAC
This 496-nucleotide ribosomal RNA is filed under the name uncultured bacterium. RNAcentral's name for it is "bacterial SSU rRNA". It matches the Rfam family "Bacterial small subunit ribosomal RNA", at positions 28 to 504 of the family's 1533-position model. The record is from RNAcentral.